AUCCAGCUAAAGAGUCCCAAAUUGGACGAAAUGCGCGUGCUGGAU
Non-coding RNA from Schistosoma curassoni, 45 nucleotides. Lineage: Eukaryota; Metazoa; Platyhelminthes; Trematoda; Strigeidida; Schistosomatidae. The record is from Rfam.